This 88-nucleotide transfer RNA is filed under the name Escherichia coli OK1357. RNAcentral's name for it is "tRNA-Leu". It matches the Rfam family "tRNA". From Rfam's summary of the family: Transfer RNA (tRNA) molecules are approximately 80 nucleotides in length. Their secondary structure includes four short double-helical elements and three loops (D, anti-codon, and T loops). Further hydrogen bonds mediate the characteristic L-shaped molecular structure. tRNAs have two regions of fundamental functional importance: the anti-codon, which is responsible for specific mRNA codon recognition, and the 3' end, to which the tRNAs corresponding amino acid is attached (by aminoacyl-tRNA synthetases). tRNAs cope with the degeneracy of the genetic code in two manners: having more than one tRNA (with a specific anti-codon) for a particular amino acid; and 'wobble' base-pairing, i.e. permitting non-standard base-pairing at the 3rd anti-codon position. Lineage: Bacteria; Pseudomonadati; Pseudomonadota; Gammaproteobacteria; Enterobacterales; Enterobacteriaceae. The record is from RNAcentral.
GCGAAGGUGGCGGAAUUGGUAGACGCGCUAGCUUCAGGUGUUAGUGUCCUUACGGACGUGGGGCUUCAAGUCCCCCCCCCUCGCACCA